GACGAACGCUGGCGGCGUGCUUAACACAUGCAAGUCGAACGGAAAGGCCCCAGCUUGCUGGGGUACUCGAGUGGCGAACGGGUGAGUAACACGUGGGUGAUCUGCCCUGCACUCUGGGAUAAGCCUGGGAAACUGGGUCUAAUACCGGAUAGGACCGUGCUUUAGUGUGUGCGGUGGAAAGUUUUUCGGUGCAGGAUGAGCCCGCGGCCUAUCAGCUUGUUGGUGGGGUAAUGGCCUACCAAGGCGGCGACGGGUAGCCGGCCUGAGAGGGUGUACGGCCACAUUGGGACUGAGACACGGCCCAGACUCCUACGGGAGGCAGCAGUGGGGAAUAUUGCACAAUGGGCGCAAGCCUGAUGCAGCGACGCCGCGUGGGGGAUGACGGCCUUCGGGUUGUAAACCCCUUUCGGCAGGGACGAAGCUUUUGUGACGGUACCUGCAUAAGAAGCACCGGCUAACUACGU
RNAcentral lists this ribosomal RNA (464 nucleotides) under uncultured bacterium. RNAcentral's name for it is "partial 16S ribosomal RNA". It matches the Rfam family "Bacterial small subunit ribosomal RNA", at positions 28 to 506 of the family's 1533-position model. The record is from RNAcentral.